Molecule: ribosomal RNA, 430 nt
Filed under: Bacteroidota bacterium
Lineage: Bacteria; Pseudomonadati; Bacteroidota
Description: Bacteroidetes bacterium partial 16S ribosomal RNA
Rfam family: Bacterial small subunit ribosomal RNA
Source: RNAcentral
UAGGGAAUCUUCGGCAAUGGGGGGAACCCGGACCGAGCAACGCCGCGUGAGUGAAGAAGGUUUUCGGAUCGUAAAGCUCUGUUGUUAAGGAAGAACGAGUGUGAGAAUGGAAAGUUCAUACUGUGACGGUACUUAACCAGAAAGGGAUGGCGAACUACGUGCCAGAAGCCGCGGUAAUACGUAGGUGGCAAGCGUUAUCCGGAAUUAUUGGGCGUAAAGCGCGAGUAGGCGGUUUUUUAAGUCUGAUGUGAAAGCCCACGGCUCAACCGUGGAGGGUCAUUGGAAACUGGAAAACUUUAGUGCAGAAGAGGAAAUUGGAAUUCCAUCUGUAGCGGUGAAAUGCGCAGAUAUAUGGAGGAACACCAGUGGCGAAGGCGACUUUCUGGUCUGUCACUGACGCUGAUGUGCGAAAGCGUGGUGAUCAAACAGG